RNAcentral lists this non-coding RNA (87 nucleotides) under uncultured Nitratireductor sp. RNAcentral's name for it is "Glycine riboswitch". It matches the Rfam family "Glycine riboswitch aptamer", at positions 7 to 88 of the family's 94-position model. From Rfam's summary of the family: This family represents the bacterial glycine riboswitch. Glycine riboswitches usually consist of two metabolite-binding aptamers domains with similar structures in tandem. The aptamers cooperatively bind glycine to regulate the expression of downstream genes. The record is from RNAcentral. Lineage: Bacteria; Pseudomonadati; Pseudomonadota; Alphaproteobacteria; Hyphomicrobiales; Phyllobacteriaceae.
UCUGCGGGAGAGAGCUGCGCUGUGUUUAUCCGGCGCGGACGCCGAAGGGGAAAUCGCCCGAAAUCUCUCAGGCAAAAGAACCGUAGA